RNAcentral lists this transfer RNA (75 nucleotides) under Sphaerodactylus townsendi. RNAcentral's name for it is "tRNA-Ala". The record is from RNAcentral. Lineage: Eukaryota; Metazoa; Chordata; Lepidosauria; Squamata; Sphaerodactylidae.
GGAGGGGCCAUGCCUCAGUGGUAAAGAACCUGCUUUGCAUGCAGGAGGACCCAGGCUCAAUGCCUGUCGUCUCCU